GUAAAUAUAGUUUAAAAAAAAAACAUUAGAUUGUGAAUCUAAUAAUAGAAACUUAUACCUUCUUAUUUACC
Molecule: transfer RNA, 71 nt
Filed under: Muntiacus sp. LSI1
Lineage: Eukaryota; Metazoa; Chordata; Mammalia; Artiodactyla; Cervidae
Description: tRNA-His
Rfam family: tRNA
About the family: Transfer RNA (tRNA) molecules are approximately 80 nucleotides in length.
Source: RNAcentral